This 305-nucleotide ribosomal RNA is filed under the name uncultured bacterium. Its description in RNAcentral is "bacterial SSU rRNA". It matches the Rfam family "Bacterial small subunit ribosomal RNA", at positions 340 to 660 of the family's 1533-position model. The record is from RNAcentral.
UGCACGGACGCAGCAGUCGGGAAUAUUGCACAAUGGAGGAAACUCUGAUGCAGUGACGCCGCGUGCAGGAAGAAGGUUUUCGGAUUGUAAACUGCUUUAGAUAGGGAAGAAAAAAGACAGUACCUAUAGAAUAAGCUCCGGCUAACUACGUGCCAGCAGCCGCGGUAAUACGUAGGGAGCAAGCGUUAUCCGGAUUUAUUGGGUGUAAAGGGUGCGUAGACGGGAAUUUAAGUUAGUUGUGAAAUCCCUCGGCUUAACUGAGGAACUGCAACUAAAACUGAAUUUCUUGAGUGCGGGAGAGGAAA